UACGGGGGGAGCAAACGUUGUUCGGAAUUACUGGGCGUAAAGCGCACGUAGGCGGCUUUGUAAGUUAGAGGUGAAAGCCCGGGGCUCAACUCCGGAAUUGCCUUUAAGACUGCAUCGCUAGAAUUGUGGAGAGGUAAGUGGAAUUCCGAGUGUAGAGGUGAAAUUCGUAGAUAUUCGGAAGAACACCAGUGGCGAAGGCGACUUACUGGACACAUAUUGACGCUGAGGUGCGAAAGCGUGGGGAGCAAACAGG
Molecule: ribosomal RNA, 253 nt
Filed under: uncultured bacterium
Lineage: Bacteria
Description: partial 16S ribosomal RNA
Rfam family: Bacterial small subunit ribosomal RNA
Source: RNAcentral